This 745-nucleotide ribosomal RNA is filed under the name uncultured actinomycete. Its description in RNAcentral is "bacterial SSU rRNA". It matches the Rfam family "Bacterial small subunit ribosomal RNA", at positions 223 to 960 of the family's 1533-position model. Lineage: Bacteria; Bacillati; Actinomycetota; Actinomycetes; Actinomycetales. The record is from RNAcentral.
GGAUGAGCCCGCGGCCUAUCAGCUAGUUGGCGGGGUAAUGGCCCACCAAGGCUAAGACGGGUAGCUGGUCUGAGAGGACGACCAGCCACACUGGAACUGAGACACGGUCCAGACACCUACGGGUGGCAGCAGUCGAGAAUCUUUCACAAUGGGCGAAAGCCUGAUGGAGCGACGCCGCGUGGGGGAUGAAGGGCUUCGGCUCGUAAACCCCUGUCAUUUGCGAACAAAGGCGCCGACCUAAUACGUCGUCGUCUGAUAGUAGCAGAAGAGGAAGGGACGGCUAACUCUGUGCCAGCAGCCGCGGUAAUACAGAGGUCCCAAGCGUUGUUCGGAUUCACUGGGCGUAAAGGGUGCGUAGGUGGUGGAUUAAGUCGGGUGUGAAAUCUCCGGGCUCAACCCGGAGGGUGCGCUCGAAACUGAUCUGCUUGAGGAUGGGAGGGGAGACUGGAAUUCUCGGUGGAGCAGUGAAAUGCGUAGAUAUCGAGAGGAACACCGGUGGCGAAGGCGAGUCUCUGGACCAUUCCUGACACUGAGGCACGAAAGCCGGGGGAGCAAACAGGAUUAGAUACCCUGGUAGUCCCGGCCCUAAACGGUGCGCACUUGCUGUGGGCGGAAUCGACCCCGCCCGUGGCGGAGCUAACGCGUUAAGUGCGCCGCCUGGGGAGUACGGCCGCAAGGUUAAAACUCAAAGAAAUUGACGGGGGCCUGCACAAGCGGUGGAGUAUGUGGCUUAAUUCGAUGCAAC